GACGAACGCUGGCGGCGUGCUUAACACAUGCAAGUCGAACGGAAAGGCCCUGCCUUUGUGGGGUGCUCGAGUGGCGAACGGGUGAGUAACACGUGAGUAACCUGCCCUUGACUUUGGGAUAACUUUAGGAAACUGGGGCUAAUACCGGAUAGGAGCUCCUGCUGCAUGGUGGGGGUUGGAAAGUUUGGGCGGUUGGGGAUGGACUCGCGGCUUAUCAGCUUGUUGGUGGGGUAGUGGCUUACCAAGGCUGUGACGGGUAGCCGGCCUGAGAGGGUGACCGGCCACAUUGGGACUGAGAUACGGCCCAGACUCCUACGGGAGGCAGCAGUGGGGAAUAUUGCACAAUGGGCGGAAGCCUGAUGCAGCAACGCCGCGUGCGGGAUGACGGCCUUCGGGUUGUAAACCGCUUUCGCCUGUGACGAAGCGUGAGUGACGGUAAUUGGUAAAGAAGCACCGGCUAACUACGUG
Molecule: ribosomal RNA, 468 nt
Filed under: uncultured bacterium
Lineage: Bacteria
Description: partial 16S ribosomal RNA
Rfam family: Bacterial small subunit ribosomal RNA
Source: RNAcentral